RNAcentral lists this ribosomal RNA (665 nucleotides) under Miconia subcompressa subsp. beverlyana. Its description in RNAcentral is "eukaryotic LSU rRNA". The stretch from base 277 to 432 matches the Rfam family "5.8S ribosomal RNA". The record is from RNAcentral. Lineage: Eukaryota; Viridiplantae; Streptophyta; Magnoliopsida; Myrtales; Melastomataceae.
GAACCUGCGGAAGGAUCAUUGUCGAAAUCGAACGGAAGAACGACCCGCGAAUCGUCAUUGCGUACUAGACAGAGCCCGUGAGCACCUAACGCUCAUGGGACUCGCGUCGCGUCGGCGUGGGUGUACUCGAGACCAGCGUCGUACCGGCGGACAAACAACGUCAGCACGGAUCGUGCCAAGGAGCUGCAUGGAGAGAAUCGUCGUCCCACGCCUUUGAUAGUCCUCGAUGCGGGACGGGGGGCGGGGGAUGUACGCAAUCUCUACUCAAGUCUAAACGACUCUCGGCAACGGAUAUCUCGGCUCUUGCAUCGAUGAAGAACGUAGCGAAAUGCGAUACUUGGUGUGAAUUGCAGAAUCCCGCGAACCAUCAAUUCUUUGAACGCAAGUUGCGCCCGAAGCCAUUCGGCCGAGGGCACGCCUGCCUGGGUGUCGUGAAUCCCCUUGCCCCUAGGCACCCGCAUGAGCAUUGGCGGGGAUAUAUGCUCGGGCGCAGAAUAUGGUCUCCCGUGGGAUCGGCAUGCACGGCAUGUCGAGGUGCGGUUGGCCGAAAAUCGAGCAAUGGCUGUGACGGGCACCACGGCGUUCGGUGGAUCGAAUGAGAUUGGCUGCGCCGUGGGCUCGGCAUUAGGCGGGCUCCGGACUUUGAGUAUCCCCGAGUGCGACCC